This is a long non-coding RNA of Cebus imitator (Panamanian white-faced capuchin), 177 nucleotides long. RefSeq lists it as uncharacterized. Lineage: Eukaryota; Metazoa; Chordata; Mammalia; Primates; Cebidae. The record is from RefSeq and is a predicted model, not a curated record. The transcript has 2 exons.
CUAGUAAAAAUAUAAAAAAGUAGCCAGGCAUGGUGGCACGUGCCUGUAAUUCCAGCUAUUCGGGAGGCUGAGGCAGAAGAAUCGCUUGAACCCAGGAGGCAGAGGUGGCAGUGAGCCAACAUCUCACCAUUUCACUCCAGCCUGGGCAACAAGAGCGAAACUCUGUCUCAAAAAAAA